This 253-nucleotide ribosomal RNA is filed under the name uncultured bacterium. RNAcentral describes it as "partial 16S ribosomal RNA". It matches the Rfam family "Bacterial small subunit ribosomal RNA", at positions 524 to 776 of the family's 1533-position model. The record is from RNAcentral.
UACGAAGGGGGCUAGCGUUGCUCGGAUUGACUGGGCGUAAAGGGCGCGUAGGCGGUUCGUACAGUCAGACGUGAAAUUCCUGGGCUCAACCUGGGGGCUGCGUUUGAUACGUGCGGGCUUGAGUUCGGAAGAGGGUCGUGGAAUUCCCAGUGUAGAGGUGAAAUUCGUAGAUAUUGGGAAGAACACCGGUGGCGAAGGCGGCGACCUGGUCCGAUACUGACGCUGAGGCGCGAAGGCGUGGGGAGCGAACGGG